RNAcentral lists this ribosomal RNA (404 nucleotides) under uncultured bacterium. Its description in RNAcentral is "bacterial SSU rRNA". It matches the Rfam family "Bacterial small subunit ribosomal RNA", at positions 29 to 414 of the family's 1533-position model. The record is from RNAcentral.
AACGAACGCUGGCGGCGUGCCUAACACAUGCAAGUCGUGCGAGAAAGUUCCUUCGGGAGCGAGUAAAGCGGCGCACGGGUGAGUAACACGUAGGUAACCUGCCCCCCAGUCUGGAACAACUAGAGGAAACUACUAGCUAAUGCCGGAUGAGACCACGAUCCCUUCGGGGGUUGGCGGCCAAAGAUGGCCUCUACUUGUAAGCUAUCGCUGAGGGAUGGGCCUGCGGGCCAUUAGCUUGUUGGUGAGGUAACGGCUCACCAAGGCUGUGAUGGCUAGCUGGUCUGAGAGGAUGACCAACCACACUGGGACUGAGACACGGCCCAGACUCCUACGGGAGGCAGCAGUGGGGAAUAUUGCGCAAUGGGCGAAAGCCUGACGCAGCGACGCCGCGUGGGUGAUGAAGG